RNAcentral lists this small RNA (684 nucleotides) under Pongo abelii (Sumatran orangutan). RNAcentral describes it as "processed transcript". Lineage: Eukaryota; Metazoa; Chordata; Mammalia; Primates; Hominidae. The record is from RNAcentral.
GUCAGAGAGCCCUGGGAGUAUCCAAGUGGCCCGGGGUCAGACAGCAGUCCUGCCCUGCACUUUCACUACCAGCGCUGCCCUCAUUAACCUCAAUGUCAUUUGGAUGGUCACUCCUCUCUCCAAUGCCAACCAACCUGAACAGGUCAUCCUGUAUCAGGGUGGACAGAUGUUUGACGGUGCCCCCCGGUUCCAUGGUAGGGUAGGAUUUACAGGCACCAUGCCAGCUACCAAUGUCUCUAUCUUCAUUAAUAACACUCAGUUAUCAGAUACUGGCACCUACCAGUGCCUGGUCAACAACCUUCCAGACAUAGGGGGCAGGAACAUUGGGGUCACCGGUCUUACGGUGUUAGUUCCCCCUUCUGCUCCACACUGCCAAAUCCAAGGAUCCCAGGAUAUUGGCAGUGAUGUCAUCCUGCUCUGUAGCUCAGAGGAAGGCAUUCCUCGACCAACUUACCUGUGGGAGAAGUUAGACAAUACCCUCAAACUACCUCCAACAGCUACUCAGGGUAUGUACAGUGCUGCUUUACCCAUUUUAUUAGUUAUCAUGGACAAUUCUAAUAUUCAAAAAGUAAUUAACUUUAAUUGGUUUUGAAAAAUAACACCCUAUAACUGCUGAAAAAGCUUUCUGGAUCAUUUUGUGUUUUCAAAUUUAAAGUGAAUAAAACAUUUUCUCUCUCUUCUCUA